GUGGGGAAUCUUCCGCAAUGGGCGAAAGCCUGACGGAGCAACGCCGCGUGAGGGAAGAAGGCCUUCGGGUUGUAAACCUCUGUUUUCAGGGAAGAAAAAAAUGACGGUACCUGAAGAGUAAGCUCCGGCUAACUACGUGCCAGCAGCCGCGGUAAAACGUAGGGAGCAAGCGUUGUCCGGAUUUACUGGGCGUAAAGGGCGCGUAGGUGGUGCAUUAAGUUAGAGGUAAAAGUGCGGGGCUUAACCCCGUGACGCCUCUGAUACUGGUGGACUUGAGUGCAGGAGAGGGGAGCAGAAUUCCCAGUGUAGCGGUGAAAUGCGUAGAUAUUGGGAGGAAUACCAGUGGCGAAGGCGGCUCUCUGGACUGUAACUGACACUGAGGCGCGAAAGCGUGGGGAGCGAACAGGAUUAGAAACCCGAGUAGUCC
This 427-nucleotide ribosomal RNA is filed under the name uncultured bacterium. RNAcentral describes it as "bacterial SSU rRNA". It matches the Rfam family "Bacterial small subunit ribosomal RNA", at positions 354 to 796 of the family's 1533-position model. The record is from RNAcentral.